Molecule: long non-coding RNA, 1604 nt
Filed under: Olea europaea subsp. europaea
Lineage: Eukaryota; Viridiplantae; Streptophyta; Magnoliopsida; Lamiales; Oleaceae
Source: RNAcentral
CAGCGCAAUAUCACACUUUCAGUUUUAGAACACUAGAAGACUGGGGAAUGCACAGCUAUUCGAGUCGAGGACUUAAAACAGUAAGCUUUUACUGCUCCUAAUGUAUGUACCCUUGAGGACACAGGUUAACUGCAUUUCAUCCCCACAUGCAAGAAAUCAGAAAUGAGCGAAAAACAAAUUCACAUUACAUUUCACAGACAUUAAAUCCAGAAAGAACAUUACAAUAUAUAUUCUUCAUCCCAACAAGCAUUUUAGGACCACGUUCAAGAUGGAGUUAAUUGUUCUAUUGGUCACUGAACUUAGGUCCAUGUCUUUGAUUGAUCACUGAAAUUUAAAAUGUCGAAUUUUAGUCACUAAACUUAAAUUCAUGUCUUUGAUUGCUCACUAAAGUUUAAAAUGUCGAGUUUUGGCUACUGAACUUUAAAAAAUGUCAAGUUUUGGUCACAACUUAGAUCCAUGUCUUCGAUUGCUCACUGAAAUUUAAAAUAUCGAGUUUUGACCACCGAACUUUGAAAAAUGUUGUAAAUUACCCACUGAACUUUGAAAAAUAUUUUACAUGACUAUCGAACUUGAAAAAAUGCUGUACAUUACUCACUGUAAACUCGAUAUUUUUCAAAAUUCAACAGAUAUGCUAAUGAGUAACGUAUGGCAUAUUUCAAAGUUCAGUGGCCAAAACUCGACAUUUUUCAAAGUUCAGUGGACAAGACUCGACAUUUUAAACUUCAGUGAGCAAUCGAAAACAUGGACCUAAGUUCAAUGACCAAAACUCGACAUUUUUCAAAGUUCAGUGGCCAAAACUCGACAGUUUAAACUUCAUUGACCAAUCAAAGAUAUGAACAUAAGUUCAGUGAGCAAUCGAAAACAUUUACUUAAAUUCAGUGGCCAAAACUCGACAUUUUAAACUUCAGUGACCAAUCAAAGACAUGGACCUAAGUUCAGUGACCAUUGGAACAAUUAACUCUAAGACGACUUGAGAGGCAAGUUUCUGUAUUUUGGUAGUAGUUCAUUGGGUUGAAGUUGGAUUCUUGGAUUCAAAGUGUCAUGUUGGAUUUUAAGAUAGGGGAGGAUUAGGGUUUUGGGAAUUUUGAGGGUGGUUCCUUUCUGAUAUGAGGGAUUGCGGAAGUGGCCCUACGAUGAUUUCAGCGUUUUGAAAUCCAUCACAUUGAACUGAAAAAGGUAAGGGGCAAAUAAUCAAAAGUUCCAAUUGAGCUUUAGAAGCAUUCUGGAUAACCAAAAAGAGCAUAAUGUCUUGGCUGGUCAAAAAAACCUAGAAAGGGAAAGACUAGAGAGUGCACGGCUCAACUGCUCGAAGCUUGCAUCCCAAGCCCCAGCAAGAACACAAAAGAUGCAGCAAAUCAAAAAAUGUAAAUGAAUUGUUUUUCUUCUUUGGAAAUGAAUUCAGCGUCACCUGGGAAGAAGGGUUGCCCAUUCAGAAAAGGGGAGUUUCGUGCUUCGACAGAAGGCUCCAGAAAACUAAAAGUAUUGCUUCAUAAACAAGACAGCAUCUGUGUAUUUCUUUCUUUUAAUAGUACGUUCUUAUUGAUAUUCCACCCAGCUAACAUCUUCUUGACGUGAGUGAUGGAGGAGUGAAUCACUAUGGCCCU